CCUACGGGAGGCAGCAGUGAGGAAUAUUGGUCAAUGGACGAGAGUCUGAACCAGCCAAGUAGCGUGAAGGAUGACUGCCCUAUGGGUUGUAAACUUCUUUUAUAUGGGACUAAAAUGUUCCACGUGUGGGAUUUUGUAUGUACCAUCUGAAUAAGGAUCGGCUAACUCCGUGCCAGCAGCCGCGGUAAUACGGAGGAUCCGAGCGUUAUCCGGAUUUAUUGGGUUUAAAGGGAGCGUAGGUGGAUUGUUAAGUCAGUUGUGAAAGUUUGCGGCUCAAGCGUAAAAUUGCAGUUGAAACUGGCAGUCGUGAGUACAGUAGAGGUGGGCGGAAUUCGUGGUGUAGCGGUGAAAUGCUUAGAUAUCACGAAGAACUCCGAUUGCGAAGGCAGCUCACUGGACUGCAACUGACACUGAGGCUCGAAAGUGUGGGUAUCAAACAGGAUUAGAUACCCUAGUAGUC
RNAcentral lists this ribosomal RNA (460 nucleotides) under uncultured bacterium. Its description in RNAcentral is "partial 16S ribosomal RNA". It matches the Rfam family "Bacterial small subunit ribosomal RNA", at positions 338 to 795 of the family's 1533-position model. The record is from RNAcentral.